AGUGGCGAACGGGUGAGUAACACGUGAGUAACCUGCCCUUGACUCUGGGAUAAGCGUUGGAAACGACGUCUAAUACCGGAUAUGAGCUGCGGCCGCAUGGUCUGCAGUUGGAAAGAAUUUUGGUCAAGGAUGGACUCGCGGCCUAUCAGGUAGUUGGUGAGGUAAUGGCUCACCAAGCCUACGACGGGUAGCCGGCCUGAGAGGGUGACCGGCCACACUGGGACUGAGACACGGCCCAGACUCCUACGGGAGGCAGCAGUGGGGAAUAUUGCACAAUGGGCGCAAGCCUGAUGCAGCAACGCCGCGUGAGGGACGACGGCCUUCGGGUUGUAAACCUCUUUUAGUAGGGAAGAAGCGAAAGUGACGGUACCUGCAGAAAAAGCACCGGCUAACUACGUGCCAGCAGCCGCGGUAAUACGUAGGGUGCAAGCGUUGUCCGGAAUUAUUGGGCGUAAAGAGCUCGUAGGCGGUUUGUCGCGUCUGCUGUGAAAUCUGGGGGCUCAACCCCCAGCCUGCAGUGGGUACGGGCAGACUAGAGUGCGGUAGGGGAGAUUGGAAUUCCUGGUGUAGCGGUGGAAUGCGCAGAUAUCAGGAGGAACACCGAUGGCGAAGGCAGAUCUCUGGGCCGUAACUGACGCUGAGGAGCGAAAGCAUGGGGAGCGAACAGGAUUAGAUACCCUGGUAGUCCAUGCCGUAAACGUUGGGAACUAGAUGUAGGGGCCAUUCCACGGUUUCUGUGUCGCAGCUAACGCAUUAAGUUCCCCGCCUGGGGAGUACGGCCGCAAGGCUAAAACUCAAAGGAAUUGACGGGGGCCCGCACAAGCGGCGGAGCAUGCGGAUUAAUUCGAUGCAACGCGAAGAACCUUACCAAGGCUUGACAUA
This 882-nucleotide ribosomal RNA is filed under the name Microbacteriaceae bacterium CNRB05. RNAcentral's name for it is "bacterial SSU rRNA". It matches the Rfam family "Bacterial small subunit ribosomal RNA", at positions 94 to 988 of the family's 1533-position model. Lineage: Bacteria; Bacillati; Actinomycetota; Actinomycetes; Micrococcales; Microbacteriaceae. The record is from RNAcentral.